UUGGUGAGGUAACGGCCCACCAAGGCAAUGAUGCGUAGCCGACCUGAGAGGGCGAACGGCCACAUUGGGACUGAGACACGGCCCAAACUCCUACGGGAGGCAGCAGUAGGGAAUUUUCGUCAAUGGGGGGAACCCUGAACGAGCAAUGCCGCGUGAGUGAAGAAGGUCUUCGGAUCGUAAAGCUCUGUUGUAAGCGAAGAACGGUCCGCAUAGGAAAUGAUGCGGGAGUGACGGUAGCUUACCAGAAAGCCACGGCUAACUACGUGCCAGCAGCCGCGGUAAUACGUAGGUGGCAAGCGUUAUCCGGAAUCAUUGGGCGUAAAGGGUGCGUAGGUGGCAGAUUAAGUCCGUAGUAAAAGGCAUUGGCUCAACCAAUGUAAGCUAUGGAAACUGGUCGGCUAGAGUGCAGAAGAGGGCGAUGGAAUUCCAUGUGUAGCGGUAAAAUGCGUAGAUAUAUGGAGGAACACCAGUGGCGAAGGCGGUCGCCUGGUCUGCAACUGACACUGAGGCACGAAAGCGUGGGGAGCAAAUAGGAUUAGAUACCCUAGUAGUCCACGCCGUAAACGAUGAGAACUAAGUGUUGGAGAAAUUCAGU
This 595-nucleotide ribosomal RNA is filed under the name uncultured bacterium. RNAcentral describes it as "bacterial SSU rRNA". It matches the Rfam family "Bacterial small subunit ribosomal RNA", at positions 249 to 837 of the family's 1533-position model. The record is from RNAcentral.